This 197-nucleotide non-coding RNA is filed under the name Psychrosphaera ytuae. Its description in RNAcentral is "6S / SsrS RNA". It matches the Rfam family "6S / SsrS RNA". From Rfam's summary of the family: E. coli 6S RNA was the first non coding RNA to be sequenced, but its function was unknown until recently. It consists of 184 nucleotides that fold into an extended hairpin structure with a large single-stranded internal bulge. The record is from Rfam by way of RNAcentral. Lineage: Bacteria; Pseudomonadati; Pseudomonadota; Gammaproteobacteria; Alteromonadales; Pseudoalteromonadaceae.
GGUUACCUGGGGUGUUUGACAGAGAACUUAUAUCCCUGAGCCGAUACUAUUUUGUAAGGAUUCCAUCCUUCCUACUAUUGCGCAGGCUCGGCUUGCCUUAUGGCACGAAUCGAGAAGCCUACGGUGGGAAUAUGGCAUCCGCCUUGAACACGUCGGUUGUUCAAGGGUUCGGUUUUCAUCGGCACUCUGGGAACCAC